This 251-nucleotide non-coding RNA is filed under the name Trichococcus sp. RNAcentral describes it as "T-box sequence". It matches the Rfam family "T-box leader". From Rfam's summary of the family: Uncharged tRNA acts as the effector for transcription antitermination of genes in the T-box leader family. Lineage: Bacteria; Bacillati; Bacillota; Bacilli; Lactobacillales; Carnobacteriaceae. The record is from RNAcentral.
CUGAACGCGAGGAAGAGGAAAGUAAGAUCCGCAACGUAUCACAGCGAGCCUGGUUGGAUGAGAACAGGCAUACGGAACGGUUUUGAAGAUGGCCUUGGAGCGGGAGGGAUGAGCUGGCACAUCAGUGAGUCCUUCAAGGGAGCACCCUUUAUCGUGCACGGGUGAAGCAGGCCUUCACUCAUUGAGGGAUCCAGCCGCGAGGGGGAUCCGAACAAAGGUGGUAACACGAAGCGUCCGCAUUCGUCCUUAAC